This 613-nucleotide ribosomal RNA is filed under the name uncultured bacterium. Its description in RNAcentral is "bacterial SSU rRNA". It matches the Rfam family "Bacterial small subunit ribosomal RNA", at positions 53 to 682 of the family's 1533-position model. The record is from RNAcentral.
CCAUGCAGUCGAACGAUAACCUGGUGCUUGCACCAGGGGACAGUGGCGAACGGGUGAGUAACACGUGAGAAACCUGCCCUAAAGACCGGGACAACCAUUGGAAACGAUGGCUAAUACCGGAUGCCCUCACAUGACCGCAUGGUCGAGUGAGGAAACGCUCAGGUGCUUUAGGAGGGUCUCGCGGCCUAUCAGCUAGUUGGUGAGGUAAUGGCUCACCAAGGCAUCGACGGGUAGCUGGUCUGAGAGGACGAUCAGCCACACUGGGACUGAGACACGGCCCAGACUCCUACGGGAGGCAGCAGUGGGGAAUCUUGCGCAAUGGGCGAAAGCCUGACGCAGCAACGCCGCGUGAGGGAUGACGGCUUUCGGGUUGUAAACCUCUUUCAGUGAUGACGAAAAUGACGGUAAUCACAGAAGAAGCUCCGGCCAACUACGUGCCAGCAGCCGCGGUAACACGUAGGGAGCAAGCAUUGUCCGGAUUUAUUGGGCGUAAAGAGCUCGUAGGCGGUUUCGUAAGUCUGAUGUGAAAACUCAGGGCUCAACCCUGAGACGCCAUCUGAUACUGCGAUGACUAGAGUCCGGUAGGGGAGCAUGGAAUUCCUGGUGUAGCGGU